CCUACGGGAGGCAGCAGUGAGGAAUAUUGGUCAAUGGGCGCGAGCCUGAACCAGCCAAGUCGCGUGAAGGAUGACUGCCCUACGGAUUGUAAACUUCUUUUAUAAAGGAGUAAAGUGAGGCACGUGUGCCUUUUUGUAUGUACUUUAUGAAUAAGGCUCGGCUAACUCCGUGCCAACAGCCGCGGUAAUACGGAGGAUCCGAGCGUUAUCCGGAUUUAUUGGGUUUAAAGGGGGCGUAGAUGGGUUUUUAAGUCAGUUGGGAAAGUUUGCGGCUCAAACGUAAAAUUGCACUUGAUACUGGGAGUCUUGAGUACAGUUGAGGUAGGCGGAAUUCGUGGUGUAGCGGUGAAAUGCUUAGAUAUCACGAAGAACUCCGAUUGCGAAGGCAGCUUACGAAACCGCGACUGACACUGAUGCUCGAAAGUGUGGGGAUCAAACAGGAUUAGAUACCCGGGUAGUC
This 460-nucleotide ribosomal RNA is filed under the name uncultured bacterium. RNAcentral's name for it is "partial 16S ribosomal RNA". It matches the Rfam family "Bacterial small subunit ribosomal RNA", at positions 338 to 795 of the family's 1533-position model. The record is from RNAcentral.